AUUGAACGCUGGCGGCAGGCCUAACACAUGCAAGUCGAACGGUAACAGGAAGAAGCUUGCUUCUUUGCUGACGAGUGGCGGACGGGUGAGUAAUGUCUGGGAAACUGCCUGAUGGAGGGGGAUAACUACUGGAAACGGUAGCUAAUACCGCAUAACGUCGCCAGACCAAAGAGGGGUACCUUCGGGCCUCUUGCCAUCGGAUGUGCCCAGAUGGGAUUAGCUUGUUGGUGGGGUAACGGCUCACCAAGGCGACGAUCCCUAGAUGGUCUGAGAGGAUGACCAGCCACACUGGAACUGGAACACGGUCCAGACUCCUGCGGGAGGCAGCAGUGGGGAAUAUUGCACAAUGGGCGCAAGCCUGAUGCAGCCAUGCCGCGUGUAUGAAGAAGGCCUUCGGGUUGUAAAGUACUUUCAGCGGGGAGAAAGGGAGUAAAGUUAAUACCUUUGCUCAUUGACGUUACCCGCAGAAGAAGCACCGGCUAACUCCGUG
This 490-nucleotide ribosomal RNA is filed under the name uncultured bacterium. Its description in RNAcentral is "partial 16S ribosomal RNA". It matches the Rfam family "Bacterial small subunit ribosomal RNA", at positions 30 to 507 of the family's 1533-position model. The record is from RNAcentral.